GCGUUUGUGGUUUAGUGGUAAAAUCCAUCGUUGCCAUGAGACUGUUUCUGAGCGAUCAGAGUACAGUUCCAGUAUCGAUGGGCCCCGGGUUCGAUUCCCGGCGAACGCA
This 109-nucleotide transfer RNA is filed under the name Cadophora sp. DSE1049. It matches the Rfam family "tRNA". Rfam says of the family: Transfer RNA (tRNA) molecules are approximately 80 nucleotides in length. Their secondary structure includes four short double-helical elements and three loops (D, anti-codon, and T loops). Further hydrogen bonds mediate the characteristic L-shaped molecular structure. tRNAs have two regions of fundamental functional importance: the anti-codon, which is responsible for specific mRNA codon recognition, and the 3' end, to which the tRNAs corresponding amino acid is attached (by aminoacyl-tRNA synthetases). tRNAs cope with the degeneracy of the genetic code in two manners: having more than one tRNA (with a specific anti-codon) for a particular amino acid; and 'wobble' base-pairing, i.e. permitting non-standard base-pairing at the 3rd anti-codon position. The record is from Rfam by way of RNAcentral. Lineage: Eukaryota; Fungi; Ascomycota; Leotiomycetes; Helotiales; Ploettnerulaceae.